AUUUAUAGCAAAGAUAUAGCUACUGGGGAGGGUGCGGAAGGUUUUGGCGAAGCUAUAACAAAUUUGCAGAAUGAGAUUGUCAUUGAGGAUGAGAUGAAUGAUGAAGAGGAAGAUGACAGAACGUCAAGAGAGACACCUAGACGCCAUGUCACCGCUGAUUCUACAAACUCUAAGAAGAGAAAGAAAGGUAACUGGUCUCGUAGGUCAGAAUCAACGGAUCCUUUUCUCACCAUGUUUGGAGAUGUAAACAGCCAGCUGAAGAGUGUCACUCAGAAUGUUGGCCAAAUGGCAGCAACAAUGGAACGUGAAGCUAUUGCCCAAGAGAAAGCAAUGGAGGAAGAUCCUAGACAGAAGUUUAAAGAGAAAGCUAUCAAUGAAUUAUCAAGGCUUGGAUUCACUGGGACUGAAAUCGUGAAUGCUGCCAGCAUAUUUGCCAAAGCUCCAGAAGAAAUGCAUAUGAUGCUUGCACUCCCGCAGAAUCUGAGGAGGGAGUAUGUUAAGAAAACGCUUGGUAAGUUAAAUUCAUGCACUAUCUGA
RNAcentral lists this ribosomal RNA (537 nucleotides) under Triticum aestivum (bread wheat). RNAcentral describes it as "partial small subunit ribosomal RNA". Lineage: Eukaryota; Viridiplantae; Streptophyta; Magnoliopsida; Poales; Poaceae. The record is from RNAcentral.